CAGUCGACGGGAGAAUUGCUAGCUUGCUAAUAAUUCUCUAGUGGCGCACGGGUGAGUAACACGUGAGUAACCUGCCCCCAAGAGUGGGAUAGCCCCGGGAAACUGGGAUUAAUACCGCAUAAAAUCGCAAGAUUAAAGCAGCAAUGCGCUUGGGGAUGGGCUCGCGUCCUAUUAGUUAGUUGGUGAGGUAACGGCUCACCAAGGCGAUGACGGGUAGCCGGUCUGAGAGGAUGUCCGGCCACACUGGAACUGAGACACGGUCCAGACACCUACGGGUGGCAGCAGUCGAGAAUCAUUCACAAUGGGGGAAACCCUGAUGGUGCGACGCCGCGUGGGGGAAUGAAGGUCUUCGGAUUGUAAACCCCUGUCAUGUGGGAGCAAAUUAAAAAGAUAGUACCACAAGAGGAAGAGACGGCUAACUCUGUGCCAGCAGCCGCGGUAAUACAGAGGUCUCAAGCGUUGUUCGGAAUCACUGGGCGUAAAGCGUGCGUAGGCGGUUUCGUAAGUCGUGUGUGAAAGGCGGGGGCUCAACCCCCGGACUGCACAUGAUACUGCGAGACUAGAGUAAUGGAGGGGGAACCGGAAUUCUCGGUGUAGCAGUGAAAUGCGUAGAUAUCGAGAGGAACACUCGUGGCGAAGGCGGGUUCCUGGACAUUAACUGACGCUGAGGCACGAAGGCCAGGGGAGCGAAAGGGAUUAGAUACCCCUGUAGUCCUGGCAGUAAACGGUGCACGCUUGGUGUGCGGG
This 747-nucleotide ribosomal RNA is filed under the name uncultured bacterium. Its description in RNAcentral is "bacterial SSU rRNA". It matches the Rfam family "Bacterial small subunit ribosomal RNA", at positions 59 to 828 of the family's 1533-position model. The record is from RNAcentral.